UGAAGUUAAAUCAGAAAUGGUUAUUUUUUUAUCCAGCUACCUAUAAUGCUCAGUCAAGAAAUGCCAGGUUAGAAAUGAUAAAAUAUCUUAUGUGACCCCUAGGGAUUUCCCUAUUACUGUCUCAUCAAGUGAUCUUAGUUUUGAAUACAAUAAAAUUUCCAGUCCAUUGAAGGAAAGGUGAUCCAGUAACUGGCCCAACUUGUGGUACAUCUCAUGGAGGGAGCAGGCACCAAGGUCUAACACUGAUGCUAUUACGUGUUUACCGAUGUGUGCCUAGCAUGACUGUUCUCUGAGAGGCCCUACCAGCAUCUGAUGGAGACAGACCCAGAUACUUACAUCCAACCAUUGGACUGAAGUUGGGGACCAAUAUGCUUGAAUUAGGGGAAGGAUUGAAUAAGUUGAAGGGGAGAGCAACCCCAUAGGAAGACCAGCAGUCUCAACUAACCCAGAUGUCUGGGAGCUCCCAGAGACUGAACCAUCAACCAGGCAGCAUACACUGAUCCUAGGCCCAGGGCACAUACAUAGCAGAGGUCUGCCUGGUCUGGCCUCAGUGGGAGAUGUGCCUAAUCCUCAAGAGACUUGAGACUCCAGGGAACAGAGAUGCCUAGUGGUGGGGAGCACCCUCUCAGAGGCAAGGGGUGGAAAACUGGAAUAAAGAACUGUGGGAGGAGGGACCAGAGGGGAGGCAAUGGCUGGAAUGUAAAUAAAUAAAAUAAUUUAAAAAAAAAAAGAAAAAAGAAAAAAAAAUCCAGUCUAGUAUUUUUAAUUAAUUUAAUUUAUGUAGGUAGAAAUUUUGGCAGCAUAUUUAUCUGUACACCAUAUCCCUGUGUAUCUUCCAUCCCUGUGGAGUCAGGAAGACAGUUACAAGAUAACAUGUGGGUGCUGGAAAUAAAAUCUAGGUCCUCUGAAAGAGCAGCCAGUGCUCUUAACUGCUGAGCCAUCUCUCCAUCCCAGAGUCUCUAUACAUACACUGUUAGAAAUCUCACCACCAAGACUGUAGUACUCCAAAGCUCAUUACACAUUCAUGAGAUUCCCUUGUCAUAUGCUCUGCACAGACAACCUGAUGAGGCCAUGUGGUCAGAGAAGCUUGGUCUCUGGCUAUAAGGGGAGUAAACCUUUUAGUGUGUGAAUGAAAACACACAGGACAAAGCCAACUCUCAUGGCUUGCAGAGAGAUGACUUGUGUUUUGCUUUAUCUGAUCAAAGCCCCCACCCUAUUCACACACACCCAACGGUUAACGCACAGACUAUGAAAAACAAACAGAGCAAGAAGCAGCUGCAGUUGUGAACUGAUUUGCACAUUACACAGUUAGGGACUGUUCCCCCAAUUCCAGCAGCGGGAAGGCAGGGGUCAUGAUUCUCAGGCAGGGUAAGAAUAAGUCUGAACCAUAUUACUUGGAUGUGGACAGUUCUGGAAAGUCAGAGAGUAGGGUUAUUUGAAAAAAUAAAAUAUCUCCAGAACACGGAAAUAUUUUUAACUUUGCUCAAAGUCGAGUUGUGGCUGCACAACAGAAUUACACAUCCUUAGGGAGAUAUCUUCCCUUCACUUGGAGUGUGAAAUGCUUGGCGAUAUCAACCAAAGCUUCACAAAUGUAUGAAGGCAGAGAAAACUGGAGACUCUGAGAAUUACAAAGCAAACCACGGAAUACCAUCCAACCAUAUCGCUCCCACCCAUGCCCCUCAAGCAACAGCUACAUGGCCCUUGCCAAGAGCCACAGUGCUGCGAAGGGUCAGCGACUCUGUUGCAGCCAAAACUAUUUUUAAUUUGUGCACUGGGUGGCUGAAUCAAAGAAAAACAAAAAAAGGCAUCUCGGGAGGCUAGGAAAAAAGGGGCAUAUGGAAGUAGGCAGGAUGUAGCAAGAUAGAGCUAGAGAAAACACAGUAUUUCAUUGGCUGCCUUAAAAUUGGUUGCUAAAAAAAUCCCUAGGAUGUCCAUGUUUGGCUUUGGAGGAAGGGAAGUCUUAAAUAAGGAUGGUAAUGACAAACACGUGCGACAUUCACUACAGAGUUUCCACCCCAGUUCUCACUGCUGUGUAAGUUAAAUUUUUUUCAUAGCAGGCAUCUUUAAUAACCAACCGUAUAAAUUUAUUAUUUCCAUAUGUUCUCCUUUUUUCUUUUUGCUCUAAAUUCCAAACAUUGACUUCAAGAGCUUUCAAAAGCUGAAUUAAAUCAGAAGAGACAGUGAGCAAUUUUGCACAAAUACCUUGAGAAUAAGAAACUUGCAUCAUAUAAAAAACGGUGUGAAUAACGCAUCUGGCCUCUAAUACAAACUUAUUUUGUACCAUUCAGUUCACCAAUCAGGCUUCAAAAUGUAGGUGAGUUUUUUUUUUUUUUCUUUACAUAGAUCUUUCUUGAGAGAGCAUCACAUACUCACAAGGAUUAUCCCAAUUGCAUUUUAAAGCUUUUCCACUGAGAAAUAUCUUGCUUUUAACAUGUCCCUUGAGGGAAAACCAGCUUAAGAGGUUUCAAAUAAAUAGCUUAUCAACAUCAAACACUAUUUAAUCAGAUCAAAGAUGUAGUGUGAUUUAAGCUGUAGAAAGGGUAAAUUACUUUGUAUUGGGUUUAACAUUGUUUAAUUAUACUGUACACAGUUUUGUGCCUUGGGUUCUUUAAGAAUAUGCUUAGCUAUUUUCCCAUUAUCCCUUCCAUAAGGCACUGACAAUUACCCACGGAUCACUCUUUUCUCCCUAGUUGUUCAUGUAUAACCAUUGGCACUUCCAGCCACUCUGGAUUCAUUUUAAUAUAUAAAACACAAGAAUGGGGAAUUACCACUGUCCCUGUUGACAUCUCACAUUUAGUUGAGAAUCAUCUGCUUGGGCUACUCUCUGGGUCUGUUUAAUAGAGUGUCUUCCCAGCCAUUUAGCAAAAAGUGUACUAAGGAGUCUUCUCAGAAAAUACCCUGUGUGAAAUGUAAGGUACAGUGUCCUUUAGAGACUCACCAGGGUUCAGAUACAAAAGCAAAGAUGGCUGUGUUCCAUGAGGACAAAAGACACUCUAUGGAUAUUCAACAAGCAGGAACACCAGAAAAUACACAGACCACUACAAGCUGGGGGGUCCUAGGAAGUUUCUUCUCUGAUAAGAGAAAUCAAUUUGUUAAACAGGGCUGGUAUAAGAGCAAUGCUGAAGGCUUCACCCUGACAAGAAUACAUAAAGGGUACUCCCAAACGUAACGACCGAGACAAACAAUGUUGCUACAAUAUUAUAAAGAUGAACAUUGUGCAAUGAUGACCAUGCUGUGUAGGGAAUGAUGAAGGUGUUAUGAGGCCCUGGAGCCAUAACAGGGCUCAGUGGAAGCCUGCACUGAUCGUGUCCUUAUUUGAAUGCUUGUAUCCUCAUAAAUUUUCUUAUGUGUUUUUAUUCUAAAUAGUGCUUAGGCUAAGUUGCUGAGUGAUUUGGCACACAAACGGGUGUACCCAAGGGACUGCCUCUCCUGUCUCACCCAAGCCCCAGGCUCAUUGGAGUCAGAAGAUGCAAAAAUAAUUUCUCUCGUUCCUUCCUAGCAGACACUUCCUUCCCACUAACACCUACGGGCAACCAUGCAUCAUAGCCCUGGACACCUAUAAGUAAAUAAUCCUGUUUCCAGGGGGAGAUGUGGCAUGUGUUCUCAUUUCAGACUUGAAAGAGAUGACUAAAGACAUUGGCAAUGCCUGACACCUGCUGAUGGCUGGCUCCAAAUGCUUCCAGCAGCCAUCCAAAGUUGAAAUGACAAUAAGAAGCAGGGGUCAAUUCCAUGUGGGUUCCUGAACAAAUUACAGAGCUUGAGACCUCAGUGGCACUGUUGAGAUUAGGAUCUAAGCACAGACAGCCUGCCUUUCAUCCAGUUAGGGGGCCAUCCCCAUGAUUGUGAUUGAGAUUGCUGUCAAAUCAAUUGCAUGUGGACCACAGCCAAUAAUAGCUUAGCAGCCAAAGGACAUUCAGGCCAAGGUUUUCUAAACCUUAGUGCAUUGAUGAAUUAAAAUGUUUUUUCGUAUUUCACUACUGUAUUGUUUGAGGCUAGGUAACAAAAAGAUAUACUAACUUUGGAGAAGAAUGCAAUUCUCUUGGUAUUAAUUAAUUUGAAAAUGCAACAAAUGAAAGGUCAAACAAUCUUUCAUAUAUAAAACCUUAAUUUCCUACUAAACGUUUGUGAUAAAAAUGCCAACAUCAACAAUGCUAAGAAAAUACCAAUUUAUAUCUCAUUUUACAAUACAGGAUUUUACUGUUAGUAGUUGAAUGGAUGACCAAACAAGUUUUUCAUCAUUUCCAACAACGUAUGGAUCACAGUGGACAGAGUGGGUCCUGCCCCUUGAAGUCCUAUUUAUCCACUGUGCGGUCAUCUCUAAGGCUGGGGAGUGUUAUGGCUUCAGUGGGAAGCACUGCAACAGACUUUCUAAAGCUCACACAGUUUAGAUGCUAGCGGUAAUGAUCUAAGUUGAUUUUCUGUUCAUGUUUGAUAUCACAUUCAGAGCAUUGGUUUCCUCCUGUUUACUCUGUACCUUGAAAUUAUGAGAAGCUCAUUUGCUUCAAACAGUUUCUGAAAAACAUCAAUUAGGAUAUUCCAUACAGGAAAUCCUUCUAUACAAAUCUUAGCUUUAAUGCUUCCUUCCAAAUCUAAUGUCACUUAUUGAAUUUCUAUUUUUUACUGGGUUUGACAGUGACAGAAAGCACUAACACCAAAGAGGAGACUCCUCUGUGGGAAAAGCAUUCACUCCACCUUGUGCAUGAUGCUAGAUUCUGAGUCUUAGAAGUGCCUUUCCAGCUGUCAAAGCAACAUCUCCACCCCCUGCUUUUACUACAUAUGCAUUGAGAAUUGUAUGGUUUCUAUCGACUGAGACGGAUUUAUUAUCAUUUUAGUUCAAUAAGGAUUUAAUUGCAUUGAUUUGUUUCUCAAAUAUAAACCUUUGAAAUGCCUCCCAUCCUGCAUUUACAGAAUGAAGCCAACUUGGGCAGGUGUAUCAUCCUUUGUACAGAUAACUAGGUUCAGUUGUGUAAGUGGGAGUAAGGCUUUCGGGCCUCUGCUGAUGGGAAAUUUGGGUCUGUGGUUUUACAUCUUGGGCUAACUUCUCUGGCUUUAAUAUCAAGACAACACAAUGCGCUUAUGGUGGUUAGAAGGUAUUCUGUCCCUUUCUGCUCUCCGGAAGACCUUAUAGAAUUGAUGCUUUUUCAUCACAAGUUUCUAGUAAAAUCCACAAUAUAAGUGAUGUGAGUUUGAAGUUACAUUAGUGGUGUGUGUGUGUGUGUGUGUGUGUGUGUGUGUGUGUGUGUGUGUGAUAUUAAAGUUGAACCCAGGACUUUACACAAGCUAGGAAAGUGCUGUAUAUAUGUACUUAUAGCCUAUGCCCUGUUUUAAUUUUUCACUUUUGGAGAAUUGGUGGUUUUUCUUACGUUUCUAAUGGAAUCCAUAAUGUAAGUCAUGUGAGUUUGAAGGUACAUCAGUGAUUCUUUUAUAGUAUUAAAGUUGAACCCAGGGUUUGACUCGUGCUAGGAAAGUGCCCUAUCAUAUAGUUUGUCCGUGCCCUGUUUUUCCUGUUCAUGCUGAGACAUAGUGUCCUGUAAAACAAAGUGCUCUUAGCAAAGGCCUUGAACUUGAGACCCUCCUGCUUCAACCUCUUAACAUCUUGUCAGAGAAUUCUGAGCUAUCAAUUUAAUUUUUCUUUACUAACUCUAGACUUAGUAUCACUAUGUUGUAUGGACGAACUCAAACCCUAAUUUGGUGAUUCCUUCUCCAUUCCCAAUUUUCAAAAUCAGGUCUCUUCUAUUUUCUCUCUUCGAUUUGUCGAGACACAAGACAGUUGUUUAUUUCUCUAGUUUUAUCCAAAAAGAAAGGUUUAAAGUCCCUAUUGCCUUUUUCCCUUUUAUUUUUUAUAGUUUACUCCCAUGUUUGAGGAGUGUGUUUGUGUUUGGUGAAUAGAUAGAUAAUAGAGAUAGAGUUAGAGAUAGAGAUAAAGAUAAAGAUAAACAGAGAUAGAGAAAGACAGACAGACAGACAGACAGACAGAGAUAGAGACAGAGAGAGAUAGAUGAAGAUCAGAGGACAGCCUCAGGUGUCAGUCCUUUCCUGCCACCUUGUUGGCUCCAGGGUGUCUCUUUACUCAAAAUAAUAUUGUCAUUGUCUUGUGGUCCAGACUGGUUGGCCUGAGAGCUUCUAGCGAUUCCCUUAUUUCUGCCACCCCUCCCAUCCUACGAGUGCUGGGAAUACAGCUUUGAGUUGCCAUGACCUGCCUCACGCAGGUUCUGGAUUUGAACUCAGGUCUUCACAUAAGUAUGACAAGGUCUUUGCCCACUGGAUCAGCUCUCCAGCCCCUCUUUAAUUCGCUUUUUAAAAAUGUCUUCAGUUUACAUAUGUUUAACUUGUCAUUUAAAACAUCUCCCUAGACAUGCCUAAAACCACUGAUAGAAGCAAUAAGUGCAGACGGUGUACACCAAGGAUUGGGAUGAAUAAUGUUCCUAGCACUAUUUGGAAGGGAAUAAUUCAGAUUUCCCCUUGAGAUUGUUCUGACCUGUUGGUGAUUUAGAACCACAUUGGUUAACUGCAAAAGUGAUUUUCACAUGCUACUCUGUAGUUGAGUUUUAGAUUGACUCUAAUAAGAUUGGCCCAAUCCACCUUUAGCAUGGCAAACCAAGUGAUCCUUUGAAAUAUCAAAAAUUAAUUACAUUAUUACAUGACCCAAAAUCAUCCACACAGUGUCAAUCUCUCCAAAAUAAAAACCAAAGUAACUAAUGAUCCCAGUAGACCACAAACUUGGGAGCCUAUCUCUGCUAACCUCUAGAAGCUGCUUCAGACGAGAACUGUGGAGUCUGGGGUCAGCCUGCAGCUGGAAACACACAGGCUGUGCCUCUCUCACCUCUUUUGCUUCUGUUGGUGUCCUGUGCUACUUAAAAAUCUUAACAGGAAUCCAGAAGGUAAGGACCCUGAGCUUUGUGGUCCUUGUGGUCAGGGUCCUGACCAGCAUCCAGAACAGGACAAAAAAAAAAAAAAAGGUGGCAAAAAACAAUGUGUCAAGUAUUGUAGAAAGAAGAAAUGAAAAGAGGUUUGCCCCAAGGUUUGUUAACUUAAACAAAUGGUAAAUGUUUAAGGAGCAGAAGCUGUCAAUCAUGCACUAUAUAUUUUUGCAUUUCACACAGUAAACAAAUAUGGGCAAAAAUUUCCUGCUGGUUAUAAAAAAUGGAUAAACAGAAGUAAAGAUCAAAUGGGGGCUGAGAGGCAAAGGGAUGCCAUCUGAUACACCUAGUUACCAUGGUGACAGCCUCAAGCCCCUCCCUUUAUGACAUCACUGUUUUGCAUUCUCUCUCAGUUCCACAAGAGAGCCCACUUAAUAUCAGCCUAUUAUUGCCUGUCUCCCUAAUAGAACAGAAAGUCGGUGCGGACCAGGAUUUAUCUCUACUUUGCUGACUGGGGUAACCCCAGUGGCUAAAACAAUUUCCAACACAUAACAUAAACUCACUAAAUAUUGAUUGAAUUAUUAAUGAAAUGGACCUCUCCUUUUAUCUUCAAACAAGCAGAAGCUUAAAUGCUCCCUGUGCAUUGAGUGGAACAAAAAUCAAAACUACCAACAAGAAUGAUAAUCGUUAAUCACUGUCUGAUGGCCACCAGGAGCAGUCGGCCAGGCCACCCUGGGCAUCGGGAUCUUGCUUCAUUGAUUUUACUUAAUAGGCUUUGUAGUCUAUCUAGCAUGAUGUCCAGAUGUACUUCCAAGGUGGGAACGGUCAAAUAUCACACAAAUCGUUGUUGAGCCUCAGACAGGAGGAAUCCAUCCAUUUGGCUCCUGAGCACACACUGCCAUUGUGAAUGUCAUCAUAAGCAGAACACCUGCUUUGGACUCUCCUUCCUGCCUGAUCCCCUCUCCAAGGAGAUCACACAGAUCUUCUCCUUCAACCAUUCUCCCCAUUCAUUCCUUUGUCUCAGCCCUCAAUUCCAAAAGGAACUACCUGGGAGCUCUCCAGCCAAGCCUGCCAGAGAAGCAAGUAGGCCCAUGAAACAGGGAAAAUCCAUCAUGACUGGGAGGUAUUGCAGCAGGUGGCUGGAGUACUAGAGAAGAUGAGAGAGUGCAUCUUCAAUGGCAACAGAAUGCAGAGAAAAUGGACCAGAAGUGGGGUGAGACUAAAACCACUCAAAACCUGCCUUGAGUGAUGUACCUUACCCAGCAGGCUCCUAUGACCUAAAGGCUCCAUAACUAUGACAAACAGCAUCAUCAGCUGGAGGCCAAGUUUUCAAACUCAAGCCUGUGGGGGCAUUUCUCAUUCAAACCAUCAUGAUACAACACUUGUAAGAUGUGAGAGACACAGCUAGAGCGAACAAGCUGAGCAAGAUGUGCAUCACAGGCCGACAAGAGAGGCCAGUAGAAAUGCAGAAUAUCCAGGUUCACUCUGUACCAAUCAGGAAGCAACGGGGUUCUGUCUUCCCAGUCCUACACAUACUGACACUCUUAUGCUUCUACUGCAUUAUGUGAUCAAAGAAACAGCAAAGAACUUGCUAGAAAUACAUAGAGCAUGGCUAAAGUAUCAUCAGCGAAUAGGCUCUGUCUCAAAGGACUAGGCAACAUAUCAGCAGAUUUGUCAAAAUGUGAAUAUUUGCCUAAUGGCAAUCUCUUGCUGUCAAGUUCAGAGAGAAAUCGAUAUUAGUUUAUAACGUGUUAAAUAAGAUAGCACUGGUUUCUGCAAGGUUGGCUAUGGGGAAUAUUCUUAAAGAUUGUUCUCUAGAUUUAUCUUAAACUAAAUAUAAUAAUUAAAGCCCAGGAAAGUCUAAAGCCAGAAUUAUUUUCUCAAACAUGAAACAAAUCACCCUCAUGUCAGUAAUCAAAUCCAGUGAGAUCUGAAUUUAUUUUUCUUUAGAAAAAAAUUAAAAGAAAACCAAUUUCUCUACUCAAUGAAAAGAAUUCUAGCUAUACAGGCAACAUUUUGAGUUGUAUAUAUAUUGAACUUAAAAAUAAAUAUUUAUUGACUACUUAAAGUAUGUAUAGCUCUAAGCUACAUUUUUUAAAGAGUGUAAAGAGAUGGAGAAAGGGCUUGGUGGGUAAGAAUAUCCACUGCCUUUGCAGAGUUCAGCUCCCAGAACUCUAUCAGGCAGCUCACAACCACCCACAACUCCAGCUCCAGGGAAUAGACUUCAUCUCAUGGACAUAGGAGGCAUCUUCAGUCACACUUACAAGACCAUACAUAAAGCAUACAUCAAAAAAAUAGAAACAAACUUGUUUUUAUAUUUACCAACUAUAAAAAUUUUAGCAACAAAUUUGGAAAAUGAAGCAAAAGUAGACUUUUAACAACUGAUAAAAUGGCACAUUUAAAAUCAUAAGAAAUCAUUCAUGCUAAAAAAUAAAUUGAAAAUGAGAAUUAACAAAAAAGUAAAAGCUUUCUAAGACACUGAAUAUGUGUGUGUAUGUGUGUGUGUAAACAAAGCAAUGUGAGUAGGUUUCUUGUAGAAAAUAGAUUUCAAAUAGUUUUAAAGUAAAUUUUAGAAAGCUAUUAUUUAUAGAAUUUGAAGAACAGAGAGGAAUUGCUUCAACCAGUAAAACACCGCAUACCAGUUUCUUAGCCUCCAUGUUAGUCACCUAGGGAUGCUUGAAAAUACUGCUUGCUUACAAUCAUAAGAUAAUCAUAACAUAAGAAAAGUUACUGACAAUCAAAACAGUGUUUCUAGAUUUGGGCAAGUGUCUACAGUGGUUGGGGGUGGGUAGAUAGAGUCACCUUUGCUUCACAUUCAGGAUCACCGCUAUCAUGCUCACAAGAUGGCUCUGCAGGUGGAAGUGCUUGCCACAAAGAUUAACCACUGAGUUCAAUCCCUGGGACCCAUAGAGUGGAAGGAGAGAAAUGACUCAUAAGAAGAGAAUACAUUGUCCUCUUCACUGCCUGUGCAACAUAGUACAUUCAUGCAUGAACAUAAAACUUCACACACACAGAUACACACGUGUACACACAUGCACACAUACACGCUAUUUUUUAACUUGUGUAUUUCUCAUCCAAGGAGUCCACAGAUCUUCAGAGAAAGUCAUGCUCAACACCUAAUUACCUAGGCAAGCUGACAUAAAAGACAUUAUGUAACAAAAUCCCUGGUAAUCUGCCAGGAUGAGAAGCAGUGAAAACCCCAAGUCUCUGUGUGUGUUCAGGUGAAUACCCCAGCCCCACCUUGUUCCUCUUCUUCCAUACCUGUGAAGGGACAGCCACUGUCUGCAUGCAAGCAUGCAGGAGAGCACCCCACUGCAGGUCUGUAACUGAAUGGCUGGCUGACCUUCAGAGACCUUACUACCUGCCAGUUUCUCCCUGUGGCAAAGCAUUCUGCUCUGUUUGGGGACUGAGAACUCAUUAGUGCACCUGGAUACAGAUUAAGACCUGCUCAGACACAGGGAGACGAAACAUUAAAGAAAAGACUCUCCAGCCCCGCCAUCUGAACAGUCACCCAACCACAGCCUCCAGGUGGAGAGAAGACUUCUAAACACUGUAGCCCCAGCAGGUGAGGUCCUCCAGAGUUCUGGUUCAUACUAAGCAUGCAAGGCACUCCCCUGCCCUGACAAGACAGCUUACCUAUGUUUUCUAAGGAGAUACCACUAAGAACAGUUUGUUGGAAAAGAACGCUUUGUUUUAACUUCAGUUUUCAUCAUGAGAAUUUUAAUAUGUUUUGAAAGUACAAGUUAAUGUCAACACUGGGAAUUUUGUUCACCAUCCCUUCACAGUUUUAUUUCAUUUUGGAUUUUUAAACCUUUUUACUGUUUUCAUACUUUCAUACAAGUAUGUAUUUUACAGUGAAACCCCCCUCUCCCACAUGCACACCUCCUAUCUUCCCUGUAAACAAAACAAAACAAAACAAAACACAUAAACAUAUCCCUACACUUAGGAUAAUCAGAAGCAAGAAGUUACGGGAUGUUAUGAGUAGGAAAAUCGAAUAAGGUGAAUAGCAACAAUAUAUACUCCUGCAAGCCACCAAGAAGGGAUUAAAAAUACAGAAUAUAUAGCUAAUCAUUUUAUUUGAUGACACAUAAAACUUAAAGAGCUGGGCCCGUUCUUUUAUUCACUUUUGAAAGCAUUUUGUUCCAUUUUCCUGCCGCUGUUUUAUUGCCUGAUUUCUCUGAGUUUUCAGUACUCAAUCUCCCAGAUCCCUUUUUCCCAUUUGUCUUUAUCUUGUAAAGCAUCCAAACUCCUCUUUUCACUGAUUAUAAAUAAGUAAAUAAAACAAUCUGUAACUACGGCAGAGACAUAUGCACUGCCUCCAUCUUCACUACGGAGCACUCCGCACCUCUCCACUAUAUUUAUUCUUGAGUUAUUGAGAAUCACAACUUCCAUCUGGACUCCUUUUUUUUUUUUUUUGUAAGGCGUUUCUCAUUUCAUUCAGUGAUAAUUUGAAAAAGUAUGUACACUUCAUGACCAUAAAUAAAAUAACUUGCCACACUACUCCAAAAAUUAUUCUCAAUUUUCAUGCAUACAAAGCUAGUUAUUUCUGUCCAAAAGGAAUGGAAUCAGAUGCUGCACAAUGGGAAUGUGGAGAUAAAAUAACAUAUCUAGCAUAUGCACUGUGCUACUGAUUAUCUUGAAAGGCCCCUGGGUUAAAUAAAACUUCUUAAUUGGUUACCACUUAGCUCAACCAUGAGACUAAAACAUGAAAUGAGACAAACAUGAAGUGAGAUUUGCACAUGAGCUCUAUACACUGUCUCUACGGCAGUAGCCCCUGCUUGCAAACACUACAAUAGCUUAGCUUCUCAGCCCAGUCUUGAACUGCCUUAACUAGACACAAAGGUUGGACCCUAGCUUCACAUUCAAGUAUCCUUUACAAAGUGCCCAACCAGCAUAUUGUUCAGCUCUCUCACAUCACCCAGAGUGACAGUCUGCUACGCUCUCCGGUCGAGUCAACUGGACAAGCCGAAAGGCUUAAAAGUCACUCAUGAGGCAAAAGAGUUUCAAGGAAGCUCUCCUCCUGGAGUCUAGUGUUCUCUACCUAUACAUUAAGUUUUCAUUCCCGAGUUCCAUUACCGCACUAGUCUAGAGUAUGGAUCCACGUGCUCUCUUUCAGUAUUUUCCUAUUAUAAGUGCUCUGACAUGGCUAAAGCCUUCCGCCAGUGUUCCAACAGUCCAAGGGCAUCCUUGACCAAGAUCAAGGGUUUAGAAUUCAGCAAGAUUGUAAAAGCUAAGUCACUCCCUUACACAGGAAUUUACCAUCACUUAGGAAGAAGGAAGUUUCAGACCAAAGGAGAAACCAAAAUAGAUACUAUAGCAGAGUUACACCCAUACACACGUACUUACUAUGGCCUAAGGGGAAGGUGGACUAUACAAGAGACUAAAAUAGGAACUAUGGCAAGGACGCGAAGCCCUUGACCCUGGCUUCUAAGAUUAGUGAAUUUUAGGUGGAGCCCUUGUUGAUCCCAGAUGUUAUCAAUGUAUUCUAUCCUGGGUGGUUCCCGUUAGACCUUUUGUGUUUGCAUUCCUCUGUUUUAUGUAAGAUUCCGGUUACCUCAAUUGUACCUUGUGAAUAUGUCACCCAACUUCCUUAUUGUCCUCUGCAUAAAAAGUCUGAUGCUCGAGUUGUAAAAUGACAUUCAGAUUCCACACAAACUCCCCUGCGUGUGUGUCUGUCUGUCAUUCAUCCACGCUUUGCCCACCCGCGUAGAGAGACCCCGUUCCACGCAGACACAGGGACCCAGAAGGUCUGCAGCAACAGUCAAGAGCCCUCUCCACCAAGUAUAAACCCUGAUGUGAACAUGGUCCAAUGCAAGGUCAAUGAAUCAAGCUGCACUUCUGAUUUUUAUCAAGGAAGAUGUGGAAGAAUAAGGAAACAAGAAACUUCCAUCCACUGAAGAGAAAACUCAUGCUAUGUAUGCCAUCAUUAUCAAAAAAGGUAGCCAUUUGUAACUUAUAGGAGGGUGACCUGACUCUGGCUAUAGCUAAAUAGCAAGAGGUUGCUGAUAUGAACAUGGUCUUUGCUAAGUGCAGGUAAGCUGGCCACUUCCUUGGAAGAUCUUGUCUCAAAGAAGGUAAUGUCAUAUUCAUGUAAAUCCCAGGCAGGAACAAAACAAACCAUGGAUUCCAGGUGCUCCUUCCCUGUCCUAACCCUUUUCCUGAUUGCUUUACUUAAGCUUAUAGAAAAAUUCCAACCUAAUAAGACGCUAUUCACCAUUGUCUAGAUUAUCCUGUUUAAGUAUUCAUAAAGACGCUUUUUCAAUGGUUAUUUUUUAUUGACAUAAUAUCAUUUAGAAUUUCUGAUCAGGAAGCCUAUAAAGAAAAUUAAAGACAAAUGCCUAUAACUUUUGAUUCAUAUUUCUUUAAUUCAUAUCUUUUUCUGUAUCAAACACACCCAGUAUUUUUUUUUCUUCUAGAAAUAAAGGAAGUUGUUAUAACAGACCAUCUAUAUAUCCAGCCAUCAGCAGUAGCUACUGUUAAAUCUCUGUGUCAUUACAGAUAAUCCUCCAUAUGAAAUGCCUGCAAAAUAAAUGUGGGCACAAAUUUAAACAAAAUCUCCAUUCUCAGAUAAGGGAUCUAAACCACACUUUCUGGUACAGGGUUCUUAGGAAUCAAGAAGACUUUGGGGGAAAUGGAGUUUUCUUCUUGAAGAUUUCCAAGGAUGUUCUGACAAUACAGAACUGGAAUUAACCAGAUAUAUACCAUCUAUGGGGAAAAUGCACACCUCUACACAAGAUACUCAUACAGGCAAACUAGAAAUGAGAAAUUGAGAAUUGGAGAGAGAACAACAAUGCAACUGUCUACUCAAAGCAUGCUUGGGGUUGGUCUGGUACUGUUAUAUAUUCAAAUGUUAUUCAAAUGUAUUCAAAUACUUACCCCCAAGUUCUAGU
This is a long non-coding RNA of Mus musculus (house mouse), 13750 nucleotides long. RefSeq annotates it as predicted gene, 53870. NCBI's taxonomy places the organism in Eukaryota, Metazoa, Chordata, Mammalia, Rodentia, Muridae. The record is from RefSeq and is a predicted model, not a curated record. The transcript has 3 exons.